UACGGGGGGGGCAAGCGUUGUUCGGAAUUACUGGGCGUAAAGGGCUCGUAGGUGGCCAACUAAGUCAGACGUGAAAUCCCCAGGCUCAACUUGGGAACUGCGUCUGAUACUGGAUGGCUUGAAUUCGGGAGAGGGAUGCAGAAUUCCAGGUGUAGCGGUGAAAUGCGUAGAUAUCUGGAGGAACACCGGUGGCGAAGGCGACAUCCUGGACCGGCAUUGACGCUGAGGCGCGAAAGCCAGGGGAGCAAACGGG
RNAcentral lists this ribosomal RNA (253 nucleotides) under uncultured bacterium. RNAcentral's name for it is "partial 16S ribosomal RNA". It matches the Rfam family "Bacterial small subunit ribosomal RNA", at positions 524 to 776 of the family's 1533-position model. The record is from RNAcentral.